GUUUACAGUUUAUCUUCAUCUAUAAUAAUAUUCAAGAUAAUGACCAAAAACUGCAAAAUUUCCUUAAAAUUACCAAUUAAGUGGCAGCAACCCAACAAUGGUUUGUUUGAUUCAUCUGAAAAUUUCUGGGCUGAUAGAUCUUGACCUAAUGAACAUUAUUACCUCAUGUCAGAUUUGCUCUAAAUGCUUCCGUUUUUGAGAUAUAAGCCAAAAACUGCAUUUGACCCCUAUGUUCUAUUUUAAGUAACGGCGGCCAUGUUUUUUGACGGAUCAAAAAUUGAAGCACACACUUUGUGCAGGAUAAUCUAAGGAACUAUCAUGCUAAGUUUCAUUUAAAUCCAUUUAGUAGUUUCAGAGGAGAAGAUGUUUGAAAAAUUGUUAACGACGACGACG
RNAcentral lists this long non-coding RNA (393 nucleotides) under Mytilus galloprovincialis (Mediterranean mussel). Lineage: Eukaryota; Metazoa; Mollusca; Bivalvia; Mytilida; Mytilidae. The record is from RNAcentral.